This 468-nucleotide ribosomal RNA is filed under the name uncultured bacterium. RNAcentral's name for it is "partial 16S ribosomal RNA". It matches the Rfam family "Bacterial small subunit ribosomal RNA", at positions 28 to 507 of the family's 1533-position model. The record is from RNAcentral.
GAUGAACGCUGGCGGCGUGCUUAACACAUGCAAGUCGAACGGUGAAGGCGGAGCGUGCUCUGCUGGAUCAGUGGCGAACGGGUGAGUAACACGUGAGCAAUCUGCCCCUGACUCUGGGAUAAGCGCUGGAAACGGCGUCUAAUACUGGAUACGAGCUGCGAAGGCAUCUUCAGCAGCUGGAAAGAAUUUCGGUCAGGGAUGAGCUCGCGGCCUAUCAGCUUGUUGGUGAGGUAAUGGCUCACCAAGGCGUCGACGGGUAGCCGGCCUGGGAGGGUGACCGGCCACACUGGGACUGAGACACGGACCAGACUCCUACGGGAGGCAGCAGUGGGGAAUAUUGCACAAUGGGCGAAAGCCUGAUGCAGCAACGCCGCGUGAGGGACGACGGCCUUCGGGUUGUAAACCUCUUUUAGCAGGGAAGAAGCGAAAGUGACGGUACCUGAAGAAAAAGCGCCGGCUAACUACGUG